AAACUAGGGAUUAGAUACCCUAUUAGUUACAUUUAAAAUUUAGUAGUAAGUGUUGAACAUGAAACUAAAAUUAAUUGGCGGCUUUUUAAAUAUUUUAGAGGAAUUUAUUCUAUAAAGGAUUUAACACCAAAAUCUUACUUUUAUUUGUAUUAAAACAGUUUACAUACCUCUAUUUUAAAAUAUUUAAAUAUAUUUUAUUAAUACUAUUAUUUUAGUAAUUUUUUAGGUAAAGGUGUAGCUUAUAUAAAAGAAUGAAAUAAAUUAUAAUAAUUUUUAUUAUUUUAACGAGAUUUAAAUGUAAAUAAUAAUUUAGUAAAAUUUAAAAGUAAAAUUAGUAUAUUUAGCCAAUUUGAAUUAGAUUUUAUAAGUGUACAUAUUGCCCC
This 383-nucleotide ribosomal RNA is filed under the name Phytoseiulus persimilis. RNAcentral describes it as "partial 12S ribosomal RNA". Lineage: Eukaryota; Metazoa; Arthropoda; Arachnida; Mesostigmata; Phytoseiidae. The record is from RNAcentral.